ACCUUGCCUUGACUGAUCAGGACUCCUCAGGUCACCUUCUCACAAUGAGGCUCCCUGCUCAGCUCCUGGGGCUGCUGGUGCUCUGGCUCCCUGGGACCAGUGGGGAUAUCGUGAUGACCCAGACUCCACUCUCCCUGCCCGUCACCCCUGGAGAGCCGGCCUCCAUCUCCUGCAGGUCUAGUCAGAGCCUCUUCGAUAGUGAUUAUGCAAACACCUAUUUGGAUUGGUGUCUGCAGAAGCCAGGCCAGUCUCCACAGCUCCUGAUCUAUAUGCUUUUCAACCGGGUCUCUGGAGUCCCAGACAGGUUCAGUGGCAGUGGGUCAGGCACUGAUUUCACACUGAAAAUCAGCCGGGUGGAGGCUGAGGAUGUUGGGGUAUAUUACUGCAUGCAAAGUAUAGAGUAUCCUCCCACAGUGGUAUAGCCUCGAACAGAAACCUCCCUGCUGGGUUGGCCCAGCUGCCCACGUGCACUGCUUGUCUGGGGGAGCAGCUGAGCAGAGUUUCUGAGUCUCCAGAACAGAAGGCUGUUGGAGAUGUCAGGGCAGGGUUUGCUGCUGAGGACGUUGGUCCAUGAGAAGCUCAAUAGCACCUCAGAUCCCAAAUGUUAAAUCCCCACCAGCUGCCACAGCCUGGGAAGGCAUAAGGAGGAGGAGAAUUCAUGGGGGCCACGUGCCCUGGGAACAACCAACUAUGAUGAAGGGAAAGUGAAUGAAAGCUCACAUCCUCACCCUCCCUGUCUUGCCCACAUUUGUCAGGUAUGUGAAACUGUCAGAAUAACCAGACCAUGAAUGCAGUUUAGUGACAACACAAGGAGAACAUAUAUGGGAAAUGACCAGCUUGGGGUUUAUUUCAAACACGAUGGCACUUAGUCAUGUUGGGGAACUCAUAGUCUCCCGUCUCCCUAAUUCUGCUCUCUGACUCGCACUAAACCCUCCUCUCCAGUGUCUUACAGGAGAAAGCACUGUGCACAAGCUGUCAGCAGGGGAGUAUGGCUAAGGACACUGAGUAAAAAUCUUUAAUGUUGGAUUAUUCAAAUAGACUUUGUAAACUCAUGGCAGGUAUGAGAUCCUGUUGUGAAAAAUUGAUUACUCCUAAUUAUUAUUUGGAAAGUGAAAAGCAGGCUUUCACAAUUCCAAAAGUGGCCUUUGAAAAUAAACUGCAUAAACUCAA
This is a non-coding RNA of Macaca mulatta (Rhesus monkey), 1170 nucleotides long. NCBI's taxonomy places the organism in Eukaryota, Metazoa, Chordata, Mammalia, Primates, Cercopithecidae. The record is from the annotation of a RefSeq genome assembly.